This 1443-nucleotide ribosomal RNA is filed under the name uncultured organism. RNAcentral describes it as "SSU rRNA". It matches the Rfam family "Bacterial small subunit ribosomal RNA". The record is from RNAcentral.
CGCUAGCUACAGGCUUAACACAUGCAAGUCGAGGGGCAGCAUGGUCUUAGCUUGCUAAGGCCGAUGGCGACCGGCGCACGGGUGAGUAACACGUAUCCAACCUGCCGUCUACUCUUGGACAGCCUUCUGAAAGGAAGAUUAAUACAAGAUGGCAUCAUGAGUCCACAUGUUCACAUGAUUAAAGGUAUUCCGGUAGACGAUGGGGAUGCGUUCCAUUAGAUAGUAGGCGGGGUAACGGCCCACCUAGUCUUCGAUGGAUAGGGGUUCUGAGAGGAAGGUCCCCCACAUUGGAACUGAGACACGGUCCAAACUCCUACGGGAGGCAGCAGUGAGGAAUAUUGGUCAAUGGGCGAGAGCCUGAACCAGCCAAGUAGCGUGAAGGAUGACUGCCCUAUGGGUUGUAAACUUCUUUUAUAAAGGAAUAAAGUCGGGUAUGGAUACCCGUUUGCAUGUACUUUAUGAAUAAGGAUCGGCUAACUCCGUGCCAGCAGCCGCGGUAAUACGGAGGAUCCGAGCGUUAUCCGGAUUUAUUGGGUUUAAAGGGAGCGUAGAUGGAUGUUUAAGUCAGUUGUGAAAGUUUGCGGCUCAACCGUAAAAUUGCAGUUGAUACUGGAUAUCUUGAGUGCAGUUGAGGCAGGCGGAAUUCGUGGUGUAGCGGUGAAAUGCUUAGAUAUCACGAAGAACUCCGAUUGCGAAGGCAGCCUGCUAAGCUGCAACUGACAUUGAGGCUCGAAAGUGUGGGUAUCGAACAGGAUUAGAUACCCUGGUAGUCCACACGGUAAACGAUGAAUACUCGCUGUUUGCGAUAUACAGCAAGCGGCCAAGCGAAAGCGUUAAGUAUUCCACCUGGGGAGUACGCCGGCAACGGUGAAACUCAAAGGAAUUGACGGGGGCCCGCACAAGCGGAGGAACAUGUGGUUUAAUUCGAUGAUACGCGAGGAACCUUACCCGGGCUUAAAUUGCAGAUGAAUUACGGUGAAAGCCGUAAGCCGCAAGGCAUCUGUGAAGGUGCUGCAUGGUUGUCGUCAGCUCGUGCCGUGAGGUGUCGGCUUAAGUGCCAUAACGAGCGCAACCCUUGUUGUCAGUUACUAACAGGUUCCGCUGAGGACUCUGACAAGACUGCCAUCGUAAGAUGUGAGGAAGGUGGGGAUGACGUCAAAUCAGCACGGCCCUUACGUCCGGGGCUACACACGUGUUACAAUGGGGGGUACAGAGGGCCGCUACCACGCGAGUGGAUGCCAAUCCCAAAAACCUCUCUCAGUUCGGACUGGAGUCUGCAACCCGACUCCACGAAGCUGGAUUCGCUAGUAAUCGCGCAUCAGCCACGGCGCGGUGAAUACGUUCCCGGGCCUUGUACACACCGCCCGUCAAGCCAUGGGAGCCGGGGGUACCUGAAGUGCGUAACCGCGAGGAGCGCCCUAGGGUAAAACUGGUGACUGGGGC